Molecule: long non-coding RNA, 333 nt
Filed under: Setaria italica (foxtail millet)
Lineage: Eukaryota; Viridiplantae; Streptophyta; Magnoliopsida; Poales; Poaceae
Description: long non-coding RNA (SITA_LNC007264)
Source: RNAcentral
CUCAAAAGUGUGGCUCACAUCCAUGUCAUGGGCCUUGUCUGAAUUUGAAUUGCUGCAGUCCUCUUCCAUGGCAACAGGUGAGGAAUCCUUCCUGCGCUUGUUGCAAGUGGCAGUGAUUUCCAUACCAUCCCCAGAACUAUGAUUGGAUGGCUGUGUCGAGAGGUUAAGCCCAGAACCAUUCAGCAACUUCUUGUGGUGCCCAUGUGAGCUGCUCUUUGCAGGAGCAGUACUUGCUGCUCUCUCAAGCUCAAAGUCUGUGGUUGGCAAAUUCCUCCACGACUCAAAAUCACUCGCCUCGGUUGGGAUCGAGAAAUUGGCAUCCCUCCCAGUGAG